Molecule: ribosomal RNA, 450 nt
Filed under: uncultured bacterium
Lineage: Bacteria
Description: partial 16S ribosomal RNA
Rfam family: Bacterial small subunit ribosomal RNA
Source: RNAcentral
CCUACGGGCGGCUGCAGUAAGGAAUAUUGGUCAAUGGACGAAAGUCUGAACCAGCCAUGCCGCGUGGAGGAUGAAGGUCCUCUGGAUUGUGAACUUCUUUUAUAUGGGACGAAAAAAGGCCUUUCUAGGCCGUCUGACGGUACCAUAUGAAUAAGCACCGGCUAACUCCGUGCCAGCAGCCGCGGUAAUACGGAGGGUGCAAGCGUUAUCCGGAUUCACUGGGGUGAAGGGGUGUGUAGAAGUCUGGAUAGAAAUCUCCGAACUUAUCUUUGAAACUGCCAUUGAUACUAUUAAUCUUGAAUAUUGUGGAGGUUAGCGGAAUAUGUCAUGUAGCGGUGAAAUGCUUAGAUAUGACAUAGAACACCAAUUGCGAAGGCAGCUGGCUACACAUAUAUUGACACUGAGGCACGAAAGCGUGGGGAUCAAACAGGAUUAGAUACCCCAGUAGUC